GCAAACUUGGUCAUUUAGAGGAAGUAAAAGUCGUAACAAGGUCUCCGUUGGUGAACCAGCGGAGGGAUCAUUACAGAGUUAUUAAAACUCCAAAACCCAUUGCGAACCUACCUAUGUUGCCUCGGCAGGACCUACCCGGUACCUACCCCGGAGCUACCCUGUAGUUACCCUGUAAUUGCUGGGUGGCCUGCCGAAGGACUUGAAACUCUGUUUUAUUGUGUGAUUCUGAGUAAACUGAAACUGAAUAAGUUAAAACUUUCAACAACGGAUCUCUUGGUUCUGGCAUCGAUGAAGAACGCAGC
Molecule: unclassified non-coding RNA, 302 nt
Filed under: uncultured fungus
Lineage: Eukaryota; Fungi
Description: partial contains small subunit ribosomal RNA, internal transcribed spacer 1, and 5.8S ribosomal RNA
Rfam family: Eukaryotic small subunit ribosomal RNA (bases 1-73)
Source: RNAcentral